AGCGAACGCUGGCGGCGUGCCUAACACAUGCAAGUCGAACGUGAAAAGGGAAACCUGAGUACAGUGGCGUACGGGUGAGUAACGCGUAGGUAAUCUACCCCAGAAUCUGGAAUAACCUGCCGAAAGGCGGGCUAAUACUGGAUAGAGCGAGGGAACUCGUAAGAGAGUUUUUCGGGAAAGGGAGCCCGCAAGGGCCUUCGUUCUGGGAUGAGCCUGCGUCUCAUUAGCUAGUUGGUAAGGUAACGGCUUACCAAGGCGAUGAUGAGUAGCUGGUCUGAGAGGAUGAUCAGCCACACUGGAACUGAAACACGGUCCAGACUCCUACGGGAGGCAGCAGUGGGGAAUCUUGCGCAAUGGACGAAAGUCUGACGCAGCCACGCCGCGUGAGUGAAGAAGGCCUUCGGGUUGUAAAGCUCUGUCGGAUGGGACGAACAUCUUCAUAGUGAAUAGCUAUGAGGACUGACGGUACCAUCAAAGGAAGCACCGGCUAACUCCGU
Molecule: ribosomal RNA, 497 nt
Filed under: uncultured bacterium
Lineage: Bacteria
Description: partial 16S ribosomal RNA
Rfam family: Bacterial small subunit ribosomal RNA
Source: RNAcentral